Dicentrarchus labrax (European seabass) is the source of this 275-nucleotide long non-coding RNA. RefSeq lists it as uncharacterized. The record is from RefSeq and is a predicted model, not a curated record. The transcript is spliced from 3 exons. Lineage: Eukaryota; Metazoa; Chordata; Actinopteri; Moronidae.
UCCAGGAGCACCUUGGAGCCUGAGGAGGGAGAGAGAGGACAAACAUCAGCAGCUUCCUAUAGUCUGACCGUACUGCGGUCCACCUGUAAACUGCCUCUGAGCUAUAAAACCAGAACAUAAGUACUUAAAUAUGACUGGUGGAGAUAUGUUCACACAUGGCGGCGCUGGUUCUCACCCUGCUGCAGGAUGUAGCUGACCAGCUCCGUGUGUCCGUUCUGGGCGGCUUUAUGUAAGGCCGAACAACCUCCAGAGUCUCUGACCAACAAGCUGACGCC